Molecule: long non-coding RNA, 250 nt
Filed under: Gossypium barbadense (sea-island cotton)
Lineage: Eukaryota; Viridiplantae; Streptophyta; Magnoliopsida; Malvales; Malvaceae
Description: long non-coding RNA (GBAR_LNC010114)
Source: RNAcentral
AAAAUUGAGAACUGGGUGGCUGGAAAUUGGAAAGACUAAUUGCAGAUUUCAUUUCUUGUUGAUCUAGAAAACUUUUCUUACUUUCUUUUUACAUGGACAGAUGCAACACCAAGCCUCAGAUUGCUCAGACAGAUGCAACACCAAGCCUCAGAUUGCUCACUGCGCAUAAAUACAUGUCAAUUUUGUGGAGACAUGGUUCAAGCUGGAAGCUCCGCUAUGGAUGCUCAUGACAGAUUAAAAGGACUUUCAG